AUGAUGUGUUAAACAUGAUUUGGGACAAAGAAAACACAUGCUAGUAAUUGGAAAGAGUGCUAAAAAAUUAUCUCUCUAUUCGUCAAAUGACUUACAGGUGAAUAACUCCUGUUCUAGAAACUGAACUGUAAAAAAAUUGGGCCCCUUUUUUAAAAAUCAUUACACAAUUUAUCUCUGAUUCUCAAACUUCUGUUAUUAUUUUUAAAGUUUUAUAAUUUUUUUUUUUUUUUUGAGGCAGAGUCUCGCUCUGUUGCCCAGGCUGGAGUGCAGUGGCGCCAUCUCGGCUCACUGCAACCUCCGCCUCCCAGGUUCAAGCCAUUCUCCUGCCUCAGCCUCCCAAGUAGCUGGGAUUACAGGCAAGCGCCACCAUGCCCAGCUAAUUUUUGUAUAUUUUAGUAGAGAAGGGGUUUCACCAUGUUGGCCAGGCUGGUCUGAAAUUCCUGACCUCAGGUGAUCGACCUGCCUCUCCUCCCAAAGUGCUGGGAUUACAGGUGUGAGCCACCGUGCCCAGCCAAGUUUUAUAAUUUUAAAAUAGCUUUAUUGAGAUACAAUUUACAUAUAAUAAAAUUUGCUAAUUUCAGGUAUACAGUUCGAUGGCCUAAAAUAAUUUUUUUUACACAGAGUCUUGCUCUGUGGCCCAGGCUGGAGUGCAGUGAUGCGAUCACAGCUCACUGCAACCUCUGCCUCCCGGGUUCAAGCGGUUCUUGCGCUUCCGUGACGUCACAAGGGCGCGCCGUCCGUGACGUCACAAGGGCGCGCCUUCGCCGACACCAUAGCGGUGGGCCUUUGGCGACGUCAGAGGCGCGGGUGUUCGCCUACGUCACUGGGGCGGUACGGUGCCUGGAGCUGGGCAGUCUUCUCGUCAGAGUGGGGACUGAUGAUGAUUAUUCCCCACCUUCUAAGAGACAAAGACCAACGAGCCACCACAGCCACCAGUCCCAGAACCCGCCAAUGCUGGGGAACGGAAAAUGAGGGAGUUCAACUCUGGCCCUCACAAUCCAGUGGAGGAGACGAAACUCAUCUGCCUCUGUCCCUCUGGGCACGCCUCAUGCCAGGUGCAUCUGUGGACAGGGGCCAUGCUCCUGGGCUUCCAAAGUUGGAGAAAGCUGCCAGGCUCAGGUGGGUACAUCACAACAGCUGCUGCCCUCUGAACACAGUGACAAAAGAACACUCUGGGCCUGGAGCCCUGGUCUGGGGCAUUGGGCAAGGCUGUUGUACUUCUCUGAUCCCAUUUCCCCAUCUGGAAAGUGCGCUGAUUGUAUCUCCCUGUGGGCACUGA
RNAcentral lists this long non-coding RNA (1279 nucleotides) under Pan troglodytes (chimpanzee). RNAcentral's name for it is "lncRNA (ENSPTRG00000054166.1)". Lineage: Eukaryota; Metazoa; Chordata; Mammalia; Primates; Hominidae. The record is from RNAcentral.